UACGGGGGGUGCGGGCGUUGUCCGGAAUCACUGGGCGUAAAGGGCGCGUAGGUGGUUUGAUAAGGGUGUGGUGAAAGCCCGGGGCUCAACCCCGGGUCUGCCGUGCCGACUGUCAAACUCGAGGGCUGUAGAGGCAGACGGAAUUCCGGGUGUAGCGGUGGAAUGCGUAGAGAUCCGGAAGAACACCGGUGGCGAAGGCGGCCUGCUGGGCAGUUGCUGACACUGAGGCGCGACAGCGUGGGGAGCAAACAGG
RNAcentral lists this ribosomal RNA (253 nucleotides) under uncultured bacterium. RNAcentral describes it as "partial 16S ribosomal RNA". It matches the Rfam family "Bacterial small subunit ribosomal RNA", at positions 524 to 776 of the family's 1533-position model. The record is from RNAcentral.